UGAGGAAUAUUGCACAAUGGGGGAAACCCUGAUGCAGCGACGCCGCGUGGGUGAUGAAGGCCUUCGGGUCGUAAAGCCCUGUCGGAGGGAAAGAAAGGGUGAGUAGCUAAUACCUGCUCACAUUGACGGUACCCUCAGAGGAAGCACCGGCUAACUCCGUGCCAGCAGCCGCGGUAAUACGGAGGGUGCGAGUGUUAUUCGGAAUCACUGGGCGUAAAGCGAACGUAGGCGGAUAGGCAAGUCAGAUGUGAAAUCCCGGGGCUCAACCUCGGAACUGCAUUUGAUACUGCUUGUCUUGAGUAUGGUAGAGGUAGGUAGAAUUCCCGGUGUAGAGGUGAAAUUCGUAGAUAUCGGGAGGAAUACCAGAGGCGAAGGCGACCUACUGGGCCAUUACUGACGC
Molecule: ribosomal RNA, 400 nt
Filed under: uncultured bacterium
Lineage: Bacteria
Description: bacterial SSU rRNA
Rfam family: Bacterial small subunit ribosomal RNA
Source: RNAcentral